UUUGUCUUUUGGCAAAUGUGAGAUGCASUGUAUGGAAUGUCGCAUUUCUAGUAUGAKAAAUUAANGAUUUAGGUCCKUCUUAAAUGAGGCCAUUUACCCNAAGAGGGNGCCGGGCCCGUAUAACGUUAAUGAUUASUAUAUGACNUUUCCAAAGAGUCGUGUUGCUUGAUAGUGCAGCACUAAGUGGGUGGUAAACUCCAUCUAAAACUAAAUAUAACCAUGAGACCGAUAGUAAACAAGUACCGUGAGGGAAAGUUGAAAAGAACUCUGAAUAGAGAGUUAAAUAGUACGUGAAACUGCUUAGAGGUUAAGCCCGAUGAACCUGAAUAUCCGUUAUAGAAAAUUCAUCAUUAUGAUUUUAAUAUUUAUAAUAUUAUAAUAAUGGUGUGCAUUUUUUCUAUAAAAGGACAUUGUAAUCUAUUAACAUAAUUAUAUUUAUCAUAAGAUCAAUUCGCGAAAGUUUAUUCAAAUUAUUUUGUUUUUUUCAAAUUAAUAUCGAAUAAAUGCAUKUGAUUUGAUAAAGUGUUGAUAGAUUUAUUAUAUAUAGUGCUUAAAUAUUUAUAUUUUAUAAUAGCAUAUUAAUCAKUGAUUUUUAUGUUCAUUAUAUGCACUUAUAUGAUUAACAAUGCGAAAGAUUCAGGAGACCUUCGGGACCUGUCUUGAAACACGGACCAAGGAGUCUAACAUAUUUGCAAGUUAUUGGGUAUUAAAACCUAAUAGCGAAAUUAACAUAACUAUUAUAAUGGGAUUAGUUUUUAGCCUAUUUAUAGUCUAUUAAUUCAAUCCCGGGGCGUUCUAUCAGUUAUACAUAAUAAUAUUUAUAUUAUUUAUGCCUCUAACUAGAGCGUACCUUGAGCAUAUAUGCUGUGACCCGAAAGAUGGUGAACUAUACUUGAUCAGGUUGAAGUCAGGGGAAACCCUGAUGGAAGACCGAAACAGUUCUGACGUGCAAAUCGAUUGUCAGAAUUGAGUAUAGGGGCGAAAGACCAAUCGAACCAUCUAGUAGCUGGUUCCCUCCGAAGUUUCCCUCAGGAUAGCUGGUGCAUUUAAAAAUUAUGUAAAAUAAUCUUAUCUGGUAAAGCGAAUGAUUAGAGGCCUUAGGGUCGAAACGACCUUAACCUAUUCUCAAACUUUAAAUGGGUAAGAACCUCACCUCUAACAGGUAAGAAGGUUGGGGGUGGGAUAUAAAAUGCACAGUGGGCCACUUUAGGUAAGCAGAUCUGGCGGUGUGGGAUGAACCAAACGUAAUGGUACGGUGCCCAAAUUAACAACUCAUGCAGAUACCAUGAAAGGCG
This 1295-nucleotide ribosomal RNA is filed under the name Rhinomorinia sarcophagina. RNAcentral describes it as "eukaryotic LSU rRNA". It matches the Rfam family "Eukaryotic large subunit ribosomal RNA", at positions 124 to 1223 of the family's 3401-position model. The record is from RNAcentral. Lineage: Eukaryota; Metazoa; Arthropoda; Insecta; Diptera; Rhinophoridae.